RNAcentral lists this ribosomal RNA (253 nucleotides) under uncultured bacterium. Its description in RNAcentral is "partial 16S ribosomal RNA". It matches the Rfam family "Bacterial small subunit ribosomal RNA", at positions 524 to 776 of the family's 1533-position model. The record is from RNAcentral.
UACGAAGGGUGCAAGCGUUACUCGGAAUUACUGGGCGUAAAGCGUGCGUAGGUGGUUGUUUAAGUCUGUUGUGAAAGCCCUGGGCUCAACCUGGGAAUUGCAGUGGAUACUGGGCGACUAGAGUGUGGUAGAGGGUAGUGGAAUUCCCGGUGUAGCAGUGAAAUGCGUAGAGAUCGGGAGGAGCAUCCAUGGCGAAGGCAGCUACCUGGACCAACACUGACACUGAGGCACGAAAGCGUGGGGAGCAAACAGG